Molecule: ribosomal RNA, 497 nt
Filed under: uncultured bacterium
Lineage: Bacteria
Description: partial 16S ribosomal RNA
Rfam family: Bacterial small subunit ribosomal RNA
Source: RNAcentral
GAUGAACGCUGGCGGCGUGCCUAACACAUGCAAGUCGAGCGAAAGGACGAUAAGCUUUUUCUUCUGCUGUUAGCGGGUGACGGGUGGGUGACGCGUACAUAGCCUUCUUCUUUUUCUGGGAGAAUUCCGUGAAACAGUAUAUAAUAAUACAUAAUAUUUUCUACCGGUUGGUGCAAAAGUUAUACGUGCUUUUCCCGUUACAUUUAGACGGUUUCGGGUUGGAUUAGUUAGUUGGUAAGGUAACGGCUUACCAAGGCAACGAUGCAUGGCUGAGCUGAGAGGGUGAUCGGCCACACUGGAACUGAGACACGGUCCAGACUCCUACGGGAGGCAGCAGUGGGGAAUAUUGGACAAUGGGCGCAAGCCUGACCGAGCAAUACCGCGUGGGUGAUGAAGGUCUUCGGAUCGUAAAACCCUGUUAUUAGGGAAGAAAAUAAGUAGAAGUAACUGUGCACAUCUUGACGGUACCUAAAGAAAAAGCAACGGCUAACUACGUG